GUUCAUAAUGAAGAGAAAUAGUAAAUUUAGACAGCAGUAGAAGAAUGUGCAUUUUUAAUUUAUACAUAUUGCUCAUUUGCGGCAACAAUGUCAUAACUCAAAAAACUCGUUUUUUCAGAUGUAUUUGAAGUUUUAAAACUUGUAUUACUUUUUGAAAACUAUAACACAAAAUAAAAAAAUUGUUCCAUCUGGUCAAGUAACAUUUGGUUAUGACGUGGACAUGAGUUAAUGACAGAAAUAUAUACCUCAGAGUUUCCCUUACCUCAGAACGACCCCAAGUUUUACUUAUGACAUUCUUGCUGCUAAAAUCAAUUUUGCAAGGCCACUUAAGAAGAAUUGUGAUGUUAUUGUUGAUAACAAAGUGUUAUUACUCAACGAUUAUCAAACAAAUUUCUACUUGUGACACUAUUAUUUUUAUCCAGCAACUUAAAAUAAUAAAAGACAAUAUUGCAACCAAAUCCAUAGGAAUGAAAUACCAAUUAAUACAUGAAUUGCAUAUUUUAUUUCUAUAUCAAAAUACAAAAUAAUUAUAUUCAGUACCUACAAUUGCUCAUAAAAUGAUUUAUAAUAUUUCGGUAUAUGGUUUUUCUGUACUAAUUGAAGAAGGUCUUGUUUCUUGUUAUUAGCUAUAGUUGGUUUUUUGUUAAAUGCUUGGGUCAGUGUAAUAUUAUCCUUCAUCUUUUUCUUUCUAAUGAUAUCUGCCACCUUAAAGUUGUCAUCCUCAUAAGAUGUUUUAAAAAAAAGGGAAGUCGGUGAUUCGCUUUCCGCGUGGAGAAUCUUCACUGUAGCAAGUUUUAUCUGUGACAUAUCCAGGGGCCUCAUUUCAGUCGCUAGAGCUUUAAUGUCGAAGAAAUUUUCGGAGCACAAUUCCGUAAUGUUGAAUGACUUUCCUGUUUUUUUUUUUUUUUUUUUUCAAUUCAGAUUGCACCAAUGAAUGAUUCCGCC
This 945-nucleotide long non-coding RNA is filed under the name Androctonus crassicauda. Lineage: Eukaryota; Metazoa; Arthropoda; Arachnida; Scorpiones; Buthidae. The record is from RNAcentral.